This 888-nucleotide ribosomal RNA is filed under the name Phacidium italicum. RNAcentral's name for it is "Phacidium sp. WJL-2020b partial large subunit ribosomal RNA". It matches the Rfam family "Eukaryotic large subunit ribosomal RNA", at positions 37 to 943 of the family's 3401-position model. Lineage: Eukaryota; Fungi; Ascomycota; Leotiomycetes; Phacidiales; Phacidiaceae. The record is from RNAcentral.
AGCAUACAAUAAGCGGAGGAAAAGAAACCAACAGGGAUUGCCUCAGUAACGGCGAGUGAAGCGGCAACAGCUCAAAUUUGAAAUCUGGCCCUUUCAGGGUCCGAGUUGUAAUUUGUAGAGGAUGUUUCGGGUGUGGCUCCGGUCUAAGUUCCUUGGAACAGGACGUCAUAGAGGGUGAGAAUCCCGUAUGUGACUGGUAGCCUAUGCUCAUGUGAAACUCCUUCGACGAGUCGAGUUGUUUGGGAAUGCAGCUCAAAAUGGGUGGUAAAUUUCAUCUAAAGCUAAAUAUUGGCCAGAGACCGAUAGCGCACAAGUAGAGUGAUCGAAAGAUGAAAAGCACUUUGGAAAGAGAGUUAAACAGUACGUGAAAUUGUUGAAAGGGAAGCGCUUGCAACCAGACUUGCAUGUAGCUGAUCAACCGGUGUUCUCACCGGUGCACUCAGUUGCGUUCAGGCCAGCAUCGGUUUCGACGGUUGGAUAAAGGCCUUGGGAAUGUAGCUCCUCUCGGGGAGUGUUAUAGCCCAGGGUGCAAUGCAGCCUGUUGGGACCGAGGACCGCGCUUCGGCUAGGAUGCUGGCGUAAUGGUUGUAAGCGACCCGUCUUGAAACACGGACCAAGGAGUCUAACAUCUAUGCGAGUGUUUGGGUGUCAAACCCAUACGCGUAAUGAAAGUGAACGGAGGUGAGAACCCUUAAGGGUGCAUCAUCGACCGAUCCUGAUGUCUUCGGAUGGAUUUGAGUAAGAGCAUAGCUGUUGGGACCCGAAAGAUGGUGAACUAUGCCUGAAUAGGGUGAAGCCAGAGGAAACUCUGGUGGAGGCUCGCAGCGGUUCUGACGUGCAAAUCGAUCGUCAAAUUUGGGUAUAGGGGCGAAAGACUAAUCGAACCAU